GUCUACAGCCAUACCACCCUGAACUCGCCCAAUCUCGUCUGAUCUCAGAAGCUAAGCAGGGUCGAGCCUGGUUAGUACUUGGAUGGAAGGACGGGGUCUUACCCACCCAACCCAGAGGGUCGCAGAGG
Cavia aperea (Brazilian guinea pig) is the source of this 128-nucleotide ribosomal RNA. The record is from Ensembl. Lineage: Eukaryota; Metazoa; Chordata; Mammalia; Rodentia; Caviidae.